GACGAACGCUGGCGGCGUGCUUAACACAUGCAAGUCGAACGAAGAGCGAUGGAAGCUUGCUUCUAUCAAUCUUAGUGGCGAACGGGUGAGUAACGCGUAAUCAACCUGCCCUUCAGAGGGGGACAACAGUUGGAAACGACUGCUAAUACCGCAUACGAUCCAAUCUCGGCAUCGGGACUGGAUGAAAGGUGGCCUCUAUUUAUAAGCUAUCACUGAAGGAGGGGAGUGCGGCUGAUUAGCUAGUUGGAGGGGUAACGGCCCACCAAGGCGAUGAUCAGUAGCCGGUCUUGGAGGAUGGACGGCCCACUUGGGACUGAGACCCGGCCCAGACUCCUACGGGAGGCAGCAGUGGGGAAUCUUCCGCAAUGGACGGAAGUCUGACGGAGCAACGCCGCGUGAGUGAUGACGGCCUUCGGGUUGUAAAGCUCUGUUAAUCGGGACGAAUGGUUCUUGUGCGAAUAGCGCGAGGAUUUGACGGUACCGGAAGAGAAAGCCACGGCUAACUACGUG
Molecule: ribosomal RNA, 510 nt
Filed under: uncultured bacterium
Lineage: Bacteria
Description: partial 16S ribosomal RNA
Rfam family: Bacterial small subunit ribosomal RNA
Source: RNAcentral